GCUCCUCGUGGUCCGCAGCUGCCUGGGUGCCACUUAAAGGCCGUAAACAACUGCAGGGGUUGGAUUUCACGGGUUUUGCAAAGUCAGGGAUAUUCAGGCCACUGGUGAUGGGAGCCGUGUUUAUCCCCGGCACAUAAGUGCUCUUAAAAGGGAGUAAGAUCUCAAGUGGCAGCUGGAAUUUUUGUAUGUUCAGGCUUGGAAGCCCUCAGCUGCAGAGAAAGAAUGGAAAAUGAAAGGAAAAAGACCAGAAAAUGAUUAAUUGGUGUAUGAGGUUAUGGGUUUGGGGUGUGGUGUUUUGUUUGGGGUUUUGUUUGUUUUGUUUGGGGAUUUGUUUCUUUGUUUUUUGUUUGUUUGCUUUUCUUUUUGAGAGAUCGUGAGAAAGGAAGAAGAAUUGGGGGGGAAAAAAGGAUUUGAAUGCAGUUUGUGGUGAAUAAUUGCAGCAGGAUCCAACACACACAUGGUUCUGCAAGUGAAUGCCUACCCUUGUAUGUGUUCUAACAAGUUCUGGGUGUGAAUGCCUUCCCCAUGUAUGUGUCCUAAUGUGGCACAAAAUGUUAUCAUUUCAUGCAUUUCUAACAAAUAUUCAAAACUUGAUCAUAACUUUGUUAGAACUGGGAAAAUCCUCUGCCCUCCCACCCCUCAAGGGUGUUGUCUACCCACAUGUGGCUGUGCUGUCAGUUUUAAUUUAUGGUCAUUUCUUAUUGACUCCAAACAAAGCGGUGUAAGAGCACAAAAUGUGUCUACAUUCAGUGUCCAAGGGGUCGUUUUCUGCACCCAGCACUGCUGUGUCUCAUCAUGAGAGAUGAGGACGUUAUACUACUCCACUCAUAAAGGGAAAUCGAGGAGUUAGUGAAAACUUUGUAGGGAUCACAUUUCCCAAGCAAUCUCACUUUCCAGGGUAGGUUGUCCACAUGUUCAAGUGCUGCUUCCAAUGAACAGGGAUGGGCUGUUCUCACUCCAUUAGGCUUCUGUUCAACUACUGCUGUCUUUUUGCCUUAGUUAGUUUUCACCUCUAUUUUUAUCUAAGUUACUCAUUGGCAAAGAUUGGGCUUCAUAAGUUUGCAAAGUGAAAGAUUUUUACAAGGUUAAGAAAAAAAAAAAAAAAGAGAGAGAGAGAUGCCUGAAAAUACCGCAAAAUUCAUCCCUCUUGACUCUGCUUUUUAUUUAAUGCCUAGAUGAAAAUAUUACCUCCUGAGUCUCCGUGUGUGUGGCUGAGUCCCCGGGACACCUGCCAAGACACGGAUUUUAGAUGCCCGAAAUCAUGUGCUCAGCAGGUGUAAAUUGUGUGCAGGGAGAGUUCACCUUUUGUCCUGAACCCCAGAGGCAGUUUCUCUUCAUUAGCAAGGGAAGAUGGGGAAGAAGAUUAUCCUCGUUUCCUGACUGCAUGCCAAAGUUAUGUAUCAUAAGGAGAAAAUCUGUUCCUACAUUCACAAGUAUGUUUGCUCCUAAUCUGUCUUCAGGAAAGCGUCUUUGUGAGGAGCAAGGGGUGCCGGUGAUCGCAGGAGAGCCGAGACGGAGGGACGGGAACAGACGCAGAAUUUCUCUGCCGAGACUUUUUCCAGCGGGUUGCACGAAUGAGAGAUUACAUUCAGCAAACGCACUGCAAAAGGCUCUUUGGAAUUUGUGCUGUAUUAUGUUUUAUUCUGAGACAAUGACAGACCAAAACCAGUCCUGGUGGAUAUUUUUAAAUGCCCGGCUUAUUCCGUGACCUGUUAAAAUCGAGUUGAUGUGCGUGUGCUCCACUCAGCGGAGAACUCGCCGGAGAUGGAGCAAUUCCUCUGCACUCUGGAAGAAGAGACAAGAGCAUGCUCUGGAAGCCUUUAUGAGGAGGCUUUUAGGAGCCAUUUUGAAAAGCCAGUUGUUAUCCUGCGGUGUUUUGGAAGUCUGGACUGGACCUCCCAGGUGAUAUUAGGACAAGGGCUGACACAACACCCAUUUUAUGCCAGGAGGCUGCACGGCCUCAGUCCCGCCGCGUGACACGGGAACACGUGUCCGUGCCAGCAGGGAGGGAAUGAGCCAUGUGCACUGGCCACACCCCAGCUGCAGCAGCUGAAUGUAGGGUGUGUGAGGCUGCACGUGCCCUGCAGGUGCCCUGGAGCUGCAGCAUCCUCCUUGGAGCUACACGCUGGAGCACCUCCAGGUGCUGUUGGUGGCACAGGAAGCACAGGAAGACACAGUGUUGAGGCUCAGCCAGAAGCAUCAACAUGGGGAUUCUUAAUCAACUGAACUGAUCCUAUGAAUUUUUCAGCAGUUCUGAGGCUCUGGACCACCCUCUCUAAUACUGCAGGUCUCAGUUCUCUCCUCUGCGCAUCACUCUCCUACUCACAGUGAGUUUUAAGGGAAGCCAAGUGCAAGCCUGGGUCAUGCAGCUUGGGAAAGGGUUUCCAGAGCAUGUUCUAGAGUGACAUUUGGUCCCCAGGGAGGCCUGUGAGUUGCCAAACUCCUCCUGGUUGACAGAGUUCCCUGCACUACGUCAGCCAACACCCCCAGAUGUUCUGAGCAGAUGCAAAACAUGCUCUAAUGGACAUGAGGAACUGUUCUCUGAGUUAGUUACUAACUGCAAGUGCAAGGACGGGUUUCACUUCUGCUCUGGGAACAAGUGGGACUUGCCAAUAGUGCAAAGUGUGUCACUGUGGUGACCCUCUGUGCAGUAAUUCUCUAAGGAGUGGCAGUUCCAUGGAAACAUCGUGUUCUGCUGUGCCCUGACCUGCCCCAGAGAGCUGAGGGGCUGGCUCAGUGGUGGCCUUGGCAGCGCUGUGAGUGAACCUUUGGACUGGAUGAUCUCAGAGGGCUUUUCCAGCCUAAACCAUGCUGUGAUUCCAUGACUCUCUGAGGACACGCAGCUGUUUCCCACGUGGCUGUGCACAGAUGUUGCCAGGUGUCCCCUGCCAGCUGGACCCUGGCAGAGCCUCUGCUCACCAGGAAUGAGAGGAAGUGACAGAAUAAAAGUAGGGGCAAACCAGUUGGUCAGUGAUUUCCGUUCACCUCCUCUUGGCUAACUGCCAGACACAGUAAAUAGGGAAUUAGGGGCUUCUCAAUAGGAAUAUUUUUUUGUGGAGGUGCGUGGGGAUUUCUGGUCCUGGGCUUGUCUGGGAACACAUUUUUUCCAUGCUGACUGUUGAAGUCAUGAGCAAUAACCUAAAUUACAGUUUUUACUUGAAGUUUUUACGAUGUCACCUUCUGGCAGAGGAAGUUAAGAAGGAAAGGGAACUAUGACGUGUGGUUACGUUGUGGUGUUCAUGUGUGUCAGACAGGAGAUUGGAACAGCACCUGUAGUGCCAGAUUGCUGUUGGCUGAAGAAGAAAACAUCCUCCCUUUCCAGAGGUGGUUGGAGGUGGGUGUUCCUCCUUCCUGGGCUGUGUCCUCAGGCACAGCUCUUCUCUUUGUACGUAAGUCUUAAUGUUCCCUUGACGUGAAACACUGGGUGCUGCUGUUCCUUGAACUCUUUGGCUCGUGUGUGACCAUUGGUGGGAGCGUGUCCCGGGCAAACUGAGCGUCAGGAGUGAGCAUCGUUUAUUUUGGGACACGUGGCACCACAUCACAGCGUGAGCAGUGCCACUCUGCUGCUGUCCCAUCCCCACACACGGGUACAGCGUGCUGGAGUGGCUCCACAUCACCUGGAAAACCAUGGACACUGUGAUUCCCUCAUUGGUACAUCAGCUGAGCCUCUGAGCCCUUAACCAGCAGCCUCCUCUGGCAAAGUCCUUCCAGUACAGAAAACAAACAAAGCACACACUUGUGACAUGGCCUGGACGCUUUAAAUGUAAAGAAAGAUCGUAGAAUCACUUAGGUUGGGAAAGACCUUUAAUAUCAAGUCCAGCUGCAUUGCUAGGUGUAAGGAUUUUUGGAAGCCUCCACCUGAAAUCUCCCUGAGUUACUCAAGGAAUAACAUUAGUUAUUAAAUUAAAUCCCUCCCCCUGAGUUACUCAAGGAAUAACAUUAGUUUACCCCCGAGAAGAUAGAAACAGAAUGCUUAGUGGGGAAAAAAAAAAAAAAAAAAAAGUUUUCAAAGAAUGUACUGAGAAAAAAACUUUUCAAAGAAUAUACUGAGAAAAAAAAGUUUUCAAAGAAUGUACUGAGAAAAAAAGUUUUCAAAGAAUGUACUGAGAAAAAAACAGUUUUCAAAGAAUGUGGUGAGAGAAAAGGUUUUCUAACAAUAUGCUACGUGGAAAAAGUUUUCAAACAAUAUGCUGAGAAAUUAUAUAAUAAAUUAAAAACGAUUACUGAAAUCUCAUGUCUUUGAGGGGUGA
Myiozetetes cayanensis is the source of this 4250-nucleotide long non-coding RNA. RefSeq lists it as uncharacterized. The record is from RefSeq and is a predicted model, not a curated record. NCBI's taxonomy places the organism in Eukaryota, Metazoa, Chordata, Aves, Passeriformes, Tyrannidae. The transcript has 5 exons.